Megasphaera sp. is the source of this 209-nucleotide non-coding RNA. Lineage: Bacteria; Bacillati; Bacillota; Negativicutes; Veillonellales; Veillonellaceae. The record is from Rfam.
CCUUGCUAAAUAUUUAUUAAUAAGCUAUAAUAAUAUAGCUUAUUAAUAAAAGUACUGAUGUAUGGUAAUUCGUUGGGGCCUAUGCAAUGAAAACCUAUGAACCUCGUCAGGUCUGAGAAGAAGCAGCGAUAAAUAGUUAUUUUUAUGUGCCAUGGGGAAACCUGGCGAAUUAUCAUACACGAGUACUUUUAAAAUAGAGUGAAGCAGCG